Cercocebus atys (sooty mangabey) is the source of this 79-nucleotide microRNA precursor. The record is from Ensembl. Lineage: Eukaryota; Metazoa; Chordata; Mammalia; Primates; Cercopithecidae.
AACUACACUUUAAGGGGACCAAAGAUACGUAUAGAUAUCAGAUCCCCAUAUACCUGUUCGGUCUCUUUAAAGUGUAGUU